This 712-nucleotide ribosomal RNA is filed under the name Escherichia coli. RNAcentral's name for it is "partial 23S ribosomal RNA". It matches the Rfam family "Bacterial large subunit ribosomal RNA", at positions 2087 to 2798 of the family's 2925-position model. The record is from RNAcentral. Lineage: Bacteria; Pseudomonadati; Pseudomonadota; Gammaproteobacteria; Enterobacterales; Enterobacteriaceae.
GACCCCGUGAACCUUUACUAUAGCUUGACACUGAACAUUGAGCCUUGAUGUGUAGGAUAGGUGGGAGGCUUAGAAGUGUGGACGCCAGUCUGCAUGGAGCCGACCUUGAAAUACCACCCUUUAAUGUUUGAUGUUCUAACGUUGACCCGUAAUCCGGGUUGCGGACAGUGUCUGGUGGGUAGUUUGACUGGGGCGGUCUCCUCCUAAAGAGUAACGGAGGAGCACGAAGGUUGGCUAAUCCUGGUCGGACAUCAGGAGGUUAGUGCAAUGGCAUAAGCCAGCUUGACUGCGAGCGUGACGGCGCGAGCAGGUGCGAAAGCAGGUCAUAGUGAUCCGGUGGUUCUGAAUGGAAGGGCCAUCGCUCAACGGAUAAAAGGUACUCCGGGGAUAACAGGCUGAUACCGCCCAAGAGUUCAUAUCGACGGCGGUGUUUGGCACCUCGAUGUCGGCUCAUCACAUCCUGGGGCUGAAGUAGGUCCCAAGGGUAUGGCUGUUCGCCAUUUAAAGUGGUACGCGAGCUGGGUUUAGAACGUCGUGAGACAGUUCGGUCCCUAUCUGCCGUGGGCGCUGGAGAACUGAGGGGGGCUGCUCCUAGUACGAGAGGACCGGAGUGGACGCAUCACUGGUGUUCGGGUUGUCAUGCCAAUGGCACUGCCCGGUAGCUAAAUGCGGAAGAGAUAAGUGCUGAAAGCAUCUAAGCACGAAACUUGCC